CACUACAACAGAAUUAGGUUAUAGGGACACAUGUUUGGGACACUUUUGAGUAAGUGUCCCAUUUAUUCUAAAACUUAAAAAAAUAUUUGCUAAUGCCUAAAUAUAAAGCCCAAUCCAACCAAAAAUAAAAGAUUACUCUACUCAACCCACCACACCCAGUCCAUUUGGCCCGAUUACAAACAGAAAAGAAAAAAAAGAAAAGAAAAAUCAAUUACCAUCUUUUUUUUCUUUCUUCACUCAAUCCACUGAAAUUCUAGACGAAGAGCCUUUCCUGUUGUCCUCCUCCGCUACCGCAGCCAACGAGAUAGAGUUUCGGCGGUUGCUAAAUGCUUAAAUAAGUGUUGGUAAAUUAGCAGCACUCUUUUAGGUUAUAGCGACAC
Molecule: long non-coding RNA, 380 nt
Filed under: Ananas comosus (pineapple)
Lineage: Eukaryota; Viridiplantae; Streptophyta; Magnoliopsida; Poales; Bromeliaceae
Description: long non-coding RNA (ACOM_LNC028044)
Source: RNAcentral